RNAcentral lists this ribosomal RNA (253 nucleotides) under uncultured bacterium. RNAcentral's name for it is "partial 16S ribosomal RNA". It matches the Rfam family "Bacterial small subunit ribosomal RNA", at positions 524 to 776 of the family's 1533-position model. The record is from RNAcentral.
UACGAAAGGUGCAAGCGUUACUCGGAAUCACUGGGCGUAAAGCGCACGUAGGCGGACUCGUAGGUCAAUUGUGAAAUACCUGGGCUCAACCCGGGAACUGCAGUUGAAACCGCUUGUCUUGAAUAUCUGAGAGGGUGGGGGAAUACCUGGUGGAGAAGUGAAAUUCGUAGAGAUCAGGUGGAACACCGGAGGCGAAGGCGCCUGCCUGGCAGUAUAUUGACGCUGAGGUGCGAAAGUGCGGGGAGCAAACAGG